RNAcentral lists this ribosomal RNA (381 nucleotides) under uncultured organism. RNAcentral describes it as "bacterial SSU rRNA". It matches the Rfam family "Bacterial small subunit ribosomal RNA", at positions 367 to 762 of the family's 1533-position model. The record is from RNAcentral.
CGCAAUGGGCGAAAGCCUGACGGAGCAAUACCGCGUGAGGGAUGACUGCCUAUGGGUUGUAAACCUCUUUUUUCAGGGAGGAAUAAAUGACGUGUACCUGAAGAAUAAGCAUCGGCUAACUCCGUGCCAGCAGCCGCGGUAAGACGGAGGAUGCAAGUGUUAUCCGGAAUCACUGGGCGUAAAGCGUCUGUAGGUGGCUUGACAAGUCAACUGUUAAAUCUUGAAGCUCAACUUUAAAAUCGCCGUGGAAACCAUCGGACUAGAGUAUAGUGGAGGUAAAGGGAAUUUCCAGUGGAGCGGUGAAAUGCCUAGAGAUUGGAAAGAACACCGAUGGGGAGGGCACUUUACUGGGCUAUUUCGGACAAUAAGAGACGAAAGCUA